GCGCCCGUAGCUCAACUGGAUAGAGCAUCGGCCUUCUAAGCCGGCGGUUGAAGGUUCGCGUCCUUCCGGGCGCGCCA
This 77-nucleotide transfer RNA is filed under the name Gammaproteobacteria bacterium. RNAcentral's name for it is "tRNA-Arg". It matches the Rfam family "tRNA". From Rfam's summary of the family: Transfer RNA (tRNA) molecules are approximately 80 nucleotides in length. Their secondary structure includes four short double-helical elements and three loops (D, anti-codon, and T loops). Lineage: Bacteria; Pseudomonadati; Pseudomonadota; Gammaproteobacteria. The record is from RNAcentral.